Molecule: ribosomal RNA, 274 nt
Filed under: uncultured bacterium
Lineage: Bacteria
Description: partial 16S ribosomal RNA
Rfam family: Bacterial small subunit ribosomal RNA
Source: RNAcentral
UACGGAGGGUGCAAGCGUUAUUCGGAAUUACUGGGCGUAAAGCGCACGUAGGCGGCCUUGUAAGUCAGGGGUGAAAUCCCACGGCUCAACCGUGGAACUGCCCUUGAAACUGCGGGGCUUGAAUCCUGGAGAGGGUGGCGGAAUUCCUGGUGUAGGAGUGAAAUCCGUAGAUAUCAGGAGGAACACCGGUGGCGAAGGCGGCCACCUGGACAGGCAUUGACGCUGAGGUGCGAAAGUGUGGGGAGCAAACAGGAUUAGAAACCCCUUGUAGUCC